AAUCAUCUAUAAAUAGAGAGGGUCUCUACUUAUGAAUGCAUAGAAAUAGCAUAGCAAACAAAUCAGAUUGAGAGAAGAGAAAAGAGAGAGAGAGGUGUGAGAAGAGAGAGAGGUCUUAUCUUCCCUUUGGCCUCUCCCCUUGUUGCCGCCCCUCUUCCUUUGGGUGUGGGGUCUCUUUGGAUGUCCCACCUUCUAGUGUGAGGUGUCACACUAGCACAUGUCAUCUUUCAAUUGAUUGAGUUGCUAAGCCAAUUGGAUUGGAGUUCAUCCUGCUUUCCUGCG
Molecule: long non-coding RNA, 282 nt
Filed under: Elaeis guineensis (African oil palm)
Lineage: Eukaryota; Viridiplantae; Streptophyta; Magnoliopsida; Arecales; Arecaceae
Description: long non-coding RNA (EGUI_LNC051714)
Source: RNAcentral